Molecule: long non-coding RNA, 8745 nt
Organism: Harmonia axyridis
Lineage: Eukaryota; Metazoa; Arthropoda; Insecta; Coleoptera; Coccinellidae
Exons: 2
Source: RefSeq, a predicted model, not a curated record
AUAAUGUUGGAUAUUUUAGCGCUAAAAGUUUUUCAAAUGAACAAAAUGGAAUUUAAAAUUCAAACUGUUACAUAUACAGCACAGAAUACUAAUAUAUAUUUUGCAUGUGUGUAACGGUGUAACUUAUUGUAGUUAGUGUAGUCGCAUCGAACAUAGAGAUUCUUUGUAAAAGCAAAGGAUUGCAUCAUACAUUCAUAAAAUGCAUCAUCAUUAUCUUUUAUCAUUCUUUCCUUCGUUCAUCUUCCAGAAUGUUCUGGAAUGUUAAUCGUGAGUGUUGUGAUCGGAUGGAAAUAAAGAAAUGUUGGAAGUGAAAAUUUGGAAGUGGAGUGUGGUCAAGAUGGGAAAAUAUGUCUGCAAUAUCGUUCGACAAAAAUUUAAUAAAUGUGAGAAACGAAAUAAUCUACUUUCUAUGUUUUGAGAAAUGUUUGCCGGAUGUUCAAGACCUACGUUCGGAUUCAAUCAAAGAAUCCGACUAGAAGGACCAAGGAAUGUUAAGUUAUUUUGGCUAGUCUUGAAUGCUACCACAGUGACUGAUUUAAAAAUUAUGGAUAAAUGAAAUUAUUUUUGUUUCAAGAGAAGUGAAUCAAAGCAAUUAACUCCUGAUAGAAUGUCCUUUGAAUUCAAUAGAAUCGAAUCAAAAUGGCGACAAACUACAAAAAUUCUUCAAGGAUGAGACCUUAUAAUUUUUCAUGCCAUUUUUGGGGCUUUCAUCGUAUUUGCAUAAUCUAAUACAUAAUAGAUUAGUGGGUUCUGCAAGAACUAUUUGCUACUAAGGAAACAAAUUCAGAUACAGGGAGUUAAAUUCAUAAGCUUUCCAUGCAAAAUUAAUGAAAAAAAUCAUAGGUACGACAUGUAUGAUGAAACCGAAAGACAUGCUGGCAUUGUGUAAAAAUUAGUCAAAAAACAAAACUGUGACAAGAUUGGCCAUGUUGAAGGAAGCAAUUUAACGGUAAAGAAGACCACCAUUUCAAGGACAUCAACCAUUCUUACAGUUUUAUUAUGUUUCAAUGUCUAGUAUUUCGUCAAGUGUUUGUUCUGGACUUUGAUCUUCUGAUUCUAUGAGAAGACCUUCGGUAUUCAGGUAAGUAUUUAUUUAUAAUUUCUUUUCCAGGCGGUAUUUCCAUGGUGAUGGUGCCUUCUUAGAUCUUGCAUCUUGGAACUUCACUCCUAGCUCAGCGCAUACAGUUGGUGCUCCUGCGUAUAUUUAGUCUGUAAUGAUUCAUUUUAAUGUAAAUGUGGUAUUCACAUACGACACCUAAUUGAUUUUUUCACUUCUUAUACUCACCGUAGCACCAUUUUCUUCAUUUUUCGUUUUUUCGAUUAUGACUUAUUUUUGCGUAGAAGUAUAUUUUUUCUUCUCGAUUCUUAUAUGAGUGAAACUUUUCAUUCUUAGCUGAGCUAAAUUUCCUUAUGUUUUCUUCAUAGUGGGCUUCCGAAAUAAAAGUACAGGGUCUUUAUAUAAAUGACUGUAAAAUCGUGGUGACCUUUGUAAUAUUUUUAAUUUAAUCAUAGCGGGUUGGGAAACGGUGUUAACAAUAUUGGAAUAAGAAUCGAUUACGCACAAUUAAUUUUUUUUCAAAAAGAAUAGCUUUCAGUAAUUAUAUUAGAGAAAAACGGUAAAGAAUAUUUCAAAGGCCACUACGAUGUUACAAUCAUCAAUCUACAUCAUUAUAUCAUGAGGAGAAGUUAGAAUCGCUAUCAACAUUAGUUCUUUCUAGAGUUGAAAUAUUUUUUCUGGGACACAAGUAUUCGAAAUUUUUCCUAAUAGCUUGCCCCUCACAAUUUUCAUUAUUUUUUUCCUGUGUUCUCUUUUCAUUAACUAGUCGACAAAAGUGUUUUUUCUUUUGAUUGUCUUAUUUGUCGUCUAUACCUUUUUUUUUCGUUUAUCAUAUUUCUUGUGUCCCGAUUUCUUGUGGUAAUUUGUAGAUUCUGUAAUGGCAGAUGACUUCUUGUUCUUGUUUUCUAUUAAUAUUUUUGAUGAUGUUUAGUGAUUUAUAAAUCACCUACUUCUCAAUAACUAGAAUACUUUUUUCGUGAAGUAGAUAUGUCUUUUCAGUAUGUUUUCCGGCAUCUUAUAUUAGCUUUCUAUUGUUAUAAUAUGUUCAUUGAUUUGUCUGUUAGUUAAUUUAUGUUUUUUCAUAACUUUCUGGAGGUCUGGUCUCUCUGUAUCACUACUAUAAGAUUGUUAAUAUGUCAUAGGGUUAUUAAUAUUAUUCAAUACACUUUAUUACAUUAUGCAUUUUUCUUGCCUAUUCAUCGGCUUGACUGGAUAUGAUUAAAUUGAAAUGAAUAUAGAAAUCCGAAUAGGUUUAGAAAAAUCAUAGUGUACUAAAGUGUAUGACAGACAGUUCCAUAAUCCAUAAGAAAAGGCUCCUUUUGGUAUAAGUAGACCGCUUUAUAAGAAGGUCGCCUUUAAAGGGAGCUUAAAAGUGGAUGCGGUUCCAUAAACCGACCGUCUUUCAGAGAAAGCUCCAUUUUUUCAACUAUCAAAAUUUCUAGGGUUAGCUAUUUUGAGAACUAUAGUGAUUUAUUGCUUGCAUUUGGUAAUAUUUCAUUGAAAUUGAAAUUUUGCUGAUGAAAUAAAGAUAUCAUGAAAUGAGAGUAAACCAAUGAAAACCAAUAAUCUUAUAAUAUUUAGAUGCGCCCUUGAGCGGUGGUGCAGUGCAGAGCAUUGACUCCAACAUUAGAGAGAAAAAGAUCAAACUCUGGAUCACGUGACCACGGGGGAGAGGAUAACAAUGGUUGAAUUUCAACCAAUGAUGAGGGCAACCAAAUUACGUUAUCGCAAUGUAAAGUUUCGAUGGUUCAAUAUGUUCAAUAUCAAAACAUCAGUUAGUUGGGCACUGGGUCAUCAUGUGUUUCAUCUUUCUAAUAGAGUCGAAUCCUCUAUCUCUAUGCGCAAUCUAUUUAUUAUUAGAUUAUUGAAGUGAACGAAGGUAAUUGACGCAACAGACCGCAAUGUUACGUGAUGUAGUCAUAUAGCAUGCGUGAAUAAAAAGGAUCCUUUUUCUUGCCAUAGUGUCACUAUCCUGACUUUAUGGAAAAGGACACUUCGAAUUGGUUUAUGGAACACGUUCAAUUUGUAAAGCAGACUUUUCACGGAAAAGGUGAUUUUAUUCUCGAUUAUGGAACUAGUCCUGUUGUUUCUUUUUUUAUAUAUAACAGGAUGACGAUUUUAGAACGACAAGUAUAGAGGAACGGUGUUGGACAGCGGGAGAUGAGAGUAGAGUCAUUGCCUAAGGGUUGAAAUUUGGAAUGCCUUUUCAGUUUUCAGUAACAAUAAAACAGUGGACCGUGCAUUUUUAGAUAUGAUGCGUUCGUUGGACCUAAUGGAUCGAUGGUUUGAAAUCUGAGAGUUUGGCAAAGUACAUUGUUAGGACAGAAGCCUUGAUUAGGAAUCCUUGACGUUCAGCAUGAUGACAUACAGGAGAAUGGGGAAUUCUCUUCAUUUUGGGGUAUUACUGCAAAUUUGAACUGAAUCACUACGAUCAAGUUUUUAAAAAUGGUUAAAUCGCUUCGUUACGGCUGCACAAAGUGUCAACAACGCCUAGUAGGUUAGCUUAUACAACCAAUGCAAUGCAAAAUAUGAGAUGACAAAAAUGAAGUCUAUGCUCUUCUGUUUGCUUUCCUUGGUCGUUGGCUCCUACUGUAACGUUACAUUUGAUUCUUACGUUGAUUAGGUAGGCAUACCUCAUCAAGGUAACAGGAUGAUUGAUGUCCUUUUCUAUCCAUGUAAUCUGCAUCGUUGAUGCCAUAUUGUGCACUGGAAACGAGGUAGUAGAUAUUUCUUUUGGAAUAAAAGUUUGAGAUGGUAUGUUUGGAAUUUGACUUUUUAACGAUAUUCCAUAAGAAAUACUCAAAUUUCGUUUGAAGGAGAAUUCCCCAUUAGGAUUGAAGGUUCUUUUCUUACAGCUGUAAAAAACAAGUUUCGAUAAAAUCGCCAAACCGACCAAGUGACCUUGAACAUGACAUGUGAGGUUAAAGUGGGUUCUGUAGCCAGAUUGGGAAAUUGAUCAUCUAGUAAAGUAAUAACAAUAAUAUUUAGAAAUAACGUUAUUAACACAAAAUUAUUCCACUUCCCGACAUCGAACAUGUUCAAACUGUAUAACGAAGAUUCGUUCAUUUUGUAUUUAUGUUGAUGUUGACCCCUUUGAUAUCUAUGACUCUGGUGAUAACAACUUCUGUUCUCUCUCCAUGUUUAGUUUUCGAUUUAGUUGUAGUCUAAGCAUUAAGAUCAUUUGUUUUAAGUCAGUUGAGUUAAGAUACCAGUGUUAUCAAUCAGCGAAUUUUGAUCAGAAUUGCGUAUUUUCAACAAGGAUCUUCUUUUCAUUCAGUUACAAACUUAGGUACCUACUAGAUGCUAUGCUGAUUCGGUAGUUCUAUUUUUUGUAGAUUUUAGAAUUCUAUUAUCAGAGGCAUCAGGGGUUCAUUGAAAUAAUGUCUUGAAUUAUUGAUUAGCUGAUCAGUUCGUUAAUUAAAUAGGGUUUCUAUAAAUAGUAGUAAAAGAUAUCCAUUAUUUUUGCAUGAAAGAUAAGUCUUUAAUUACCAUAGUUAGAAUGAUCCGAUUUAGGUCGAAUAUAUGCCGUUUUGUUCGAUAACUUGUUUCCAUUUUGUGGGCGAUAUCAUUCUGCCGCCUUCAAAGAAGCCCACGUCCCUAUUGGCAAAAAACUGAAGCAGUCAAUUUUCACCAGCCUCUGUUGAAGCUAAUUUUUCACCAGCAAAAUUGUUCUCCAUGGAGAAGAAUAGAUGGUAUAAUCACUUGGUGACCGGUCCUGACUAUAAAUAAAUAAACUGAGUCAACUAAUCACAAAACUGUCAGAAAAGUUUUUGUAGUACGAAAUCUCAUCUUUCCAACGCCAUCUAGUGGGAACCCGAUCGGACUUAUACAAGGCAAGAUACAAAUAACUAAAUCCUUUUAUUGGAAAAAUAAUGGAUUUACAUAUAAAAUUAGGAAAUAAUACGUGAUAAUUAAUAAAUUUCGAUACUACUUGUUGGAAUACUUUCGCUUAACUAGUCUAGAUGUUAUUCAAUUCGUCCAUUCUCUAUUUUUCGAAAAUGAUUUGAUUGAAUCAAUUAAUAUUAUAAAACAAAAAAAAAAGAAAUUAGUGUAAUUCCCUUCAAGGUUACGUUACGUUGGAUUUGGCCAAGAAUUAAAACUGGUUUGGUAUAACUGUCACUAACAAUUAUUGGUGAUUUGCUGUAAAAAAGAACCUUAAAUCAGAAAUCAGUGCAUGGCAUCUUGCAGAAGUCUUGCCUUCACAAGAUAUGUAGGUAUCGUCCAACAAGCAUAACCAAGAGACUAUCAACAACGAGAAGAUUUUGUUGUCUUUACUAGUGAUGAAGUUCAUUUUUAGUCAAGCGAAGAAAUUAAUUGCAUAAAUUACGCUGUAAGCCUUCCGAAAACCCAUGUGUCUCGCGAUUUCAACAGAAUGACUGUCACCAACUUGUUAUUUUUCAUACUAAAAGAGAAUUAUCUGAAAUAUUAUAAAUCUAUCAAUAGUUCUGAGAAAGUUAAUUCACUUUUCGAGAAAUAAUAACUAAGUAACAAUUAUUCAAAAAACCUCAGGUUGCCGUGGGUCAUUCUGUAUGAUUCGUGGAUUCGUGACAUCCUGCUUAUUCUGUUUUUAUGUGCUCUAUUAAAUAUUUUUUAUAUUUCAAAUGUGGUUAGUUAUGUUUUAUUCUUCAAUAUGGUUCCUUAUGGAGGUUUCAUAGGUUUAUAGGUUAUUUAUGUUCCUCAAAUAUGUUAAAUGACAUGUAUCAAUGUUCAAUGUUUUCUUUCCCAACAUCUCCUGGGCCUCUCUGAGACCUCUCACCUCCUCUUGAAUGAUUGAAUGAAUAGGUAAUAGAUGAGAAAUAUUAGCAAAAAUGAAUAAUUUAAUAUAUUUCUUGAUGUUUAGGUAUAGUAUAUUCAAAGUCACUUGAACUUGUCAAUAAAAACGCUUGGCCAGUGUAUAUCGCGAUUCGCUAUUUAGCGGUAUUUACCUGGGUUUAUUUCAAAGUAUUAUUAGGAAAUGAUUCCCUGGUUCCAAAAGAGUUUCUGGAAACUUGGACAACCCUUGUAUAAUCUAAAUAUUCUGGCUUCCUCCAAGUGACUUUGGAUAUACUAUAACAUUGUGUGGAGAUUACAUAUUAGAACGAAUCAGCUCAUACAAAGCAAAGGUUUUAAGAACUACCUAAAAGUACUUAGAUGGAUUUGAACUUCAAACUCUUGAUUUGAAAUAGGUUUUAUUCGGUAUUGUUAUUACUAAUGAAUUCUAGGUAAUAACAACAUUGUAAAAAAAUAGUUUUUAUGCAUAAAAUGAUAAUUACUCAGAAUAAUUGCGAAACCAAAAAAAAUACAUCAAUUAUUUGAAAUGAAAAGUUCAAUUGGCGGAAUACUAUCAAUUGUUUUUCGAAAAUCUAAACGUUACGUUCAAGUUCACUAUCACGUCAUUGUUCACUCAAAAAAUUGAAUGAAUCCGACCUAUAUUUUGGAAGUUAUAAUGUUCUUGAUUAGCACUGGAAUAGCAUUAGCAUGAACAAGUAUCGAACACGCUUAACGAUCAUGAAAGUCAGUAAAGUGAAAGAUAUCUAAAUUUUUAUUUUGUCAUCUUGAUUUGUGAUCUGUUGAUAUAGUCAUUAAUCAAAUAAUUUAUUGGUAAAAGUAUAGAAUCGAUAAUAAAAGAAUAGACAGAGUUAGCAAUUUUUGCUGGGGCCAGUGAUGAGGAUAUCGAGGAAUUGAUUCUUUAUAAAACACUUUGUGUAAAAAAUAUAUCAAGACUAGUUGAAUCCAGUUUUGAUUUUGAUAGAGUAAUAGAUUUUCAAAUGAUCUGCAAGGAUUCGGACGUGUGCUCAGGGUUCCAGAAAAAAUAGUGACUGGAAAUAGAGUUUUGAUUUCAUCAGAUAUUCAUUUUCAAAAGUGGUAGGAUAAUCGAAUGAAAAAAAUCCGCCCGCCUUCCAUAGCUUUCCUCGGAUUCUGACAAAACUGGUCUUCAAGAAAUUUAGUGCAAAUUUGGUAGCACUACCGCAUUGAUCCUUCUAGAUCAAGAGUACACAAUUCUAAAUGUUGAAGGCUCAAAAUCAAAGAAUUAAAGUAAAUUUCUCAGAAACAAGACAUUAUUAUUUUGUUCACCAAUACGGAAACAAAUAUUUGUUGAUUAAUUCUUGUUGAAUAUUGGUGGCAAAUAUUUGACAUAAAAAAUCCUUCAAAAUAAAGGAUCUUCAAAUAUGCUGUUGUCCUACUAUGUAUUCUUCAAACAAUGGUAUGUAGUGUAGUUUUGGAUUUUGUAUAUCAAAUCAAAAUAUAUGAUACAGUUAAUGAAAUUAAUUUAUAUUGUUAAUUUCGAGGAAAAUUUGAACUUUUGUUUGAAUACUUCCGUAUAUGUAUUUUUUGGUAUGGUAUACAAAAUUUCAAAAGGAAGUUUCAGAUAAAUCGGUACUUCAGAUGAAAUUUCGCAGACAACGUUGGAAUCCAGUAAGCUUCAGAAUUUCCUAGCAGUAUAGCAUCCGCCAAAAAAGAUAGAAAAUAAAAAACUAUUAAUUAUUAUUUAUUAUUGAUAUUAUUAUUUUUUUAUUAUUAUUAUUGAUUUGAAAUCAUAGGGUUUUCCAAUGAGAGGUUUCAUUUCAAUCUAAAAGAAAGUUUUUUUAAGAGAUAUCAAUGUAUGUUUAAUUCAUCGUGAAGAGGAAGGUACGCUAUUAAUGAUGGAAAACAAUAUAUCAGCCAAAUGGCCGCCACUGCUACGGUUGAAGCACCAUAUUCUUUUCAUGAAAUUUUCCAUGACCAAUUCGUACAUUUGCAGAUGUAUCUCCUCGAUAACUUCGCGAAUUCCAUCUUUAAGGUCUUGAAACGAUUGUGGAGCAUUGGCAUAGACCUCAUAUUCCAUGAGCCCUAAAUAAAAAAAUCGAAAGGUGUAAAAUCACAAGAUGUUAGUGGCCAGUUAUUAUCACCUCUCCGAGAAAUAACAUGAACACUAUUCUUUUUUUGGAAAAUUGCUAUUGUUUUAUUGCUCGUGUGGCACGUAUAGCCGUCUUGCUGAAAAUAAACGUCCUCUAUAUUGAUAUAUUCCAAUUCCGGCCAUAAAAAUUUAUUAAUCAUAGGUCAGAAGCACAAUUCGUUCACCGUAACAGUUGCACCAUCCUCAUUUUCGAUCAAGUAAAAGAACCAAUUACACCAUCAGCCCAAAAGCCUCAAGACCUAAGUCUUUAAGCAAUAUACGAUGUAAUGUCUUUAGUGGAAUACCUAAUUCCCAAGAUCGACGAGGAAUCGACAAACACUACGGGCUAUAGGAGCAAUAUUCUCAGUUUUUCGACGCACCCGGUUUCGAUUUUUCACAUCACUUACUUGCUCCAAAAGCUCAAAUUUUUUAACCAGUUCCACUAUUGCCGGGCGAAAAGGUGUUUCAAGAUGAAUCAAAAGUGCUUUAGUUAUACGAACUGGAACUGCAAAAUUUCCAUCAAUUUUUUUCAGCUAGUUUCAACCAUUUCAAUACAUUUUUCAUACGUGUAUCCUUCAAUUUUUAGUAAUGGCGAAGUUUUAACUUGCCAAAUGUCAAAAAAUGACAGCUUCAAAAGUGAGAUCAGCCCAGAUAGCGGGCUAUUCAAAAUGAAACCUCUUAUUGGAAAACCCAUACACUUAUUAUUCCAUUAUUCGAUACGUCUAUGGGAAAACCCUUUAAUAGUUUGGUAGUUUGUUAGUUUGAUAUAAUGUUUUGUGCUCAGAUGUAAAUAUAGUAGGAUUUGAGAAAAAAUAAAUUGGAUUUUCUAGUA